This 253-nucleotide ribosomal RNA is filed under the name uncultured bacterium. RNAcentral describes it as "partial 16S ribosomal RNA". It matches the Rfam family "Bacterial small subunit ribosomal RNA", at positions 524 to 776 of the family's 1533-position model. The record is from RNAcentral.
UACGUAGGGUGCAAGCGUUGUCCGGAAUUAUUGGGCGUAAAGAGCGUGUAGGCGGCCCGACCAGUCCGCUGUGAAAGUCCAGGGCUCAACCCUGGAAUGCCGGUGGAUACUGUCGGGCUAGAGUCCGGAAUGGGCGAGUGGAAUUCCUGGUGUAGCGGUGAAAUGCGCAGAUAUCAGGAGGAACACCAGUGGCGAAGGCGGUGGUCUGGGCCGAUACUGACGCUGUAGAGCGAAAGCGUGGGGAGCGAACAGG